UGGGGAAUAUUGCACAAUGGGCGAAAGCCUGAUGCAGCAACGCCGCGUGCGGGAUGACGGCCUUCGGGUUGUAAACCGCUUUCAGCAGGGACGAAGGUUUUCUGACGGUACCUGCAGAAGAAGCACCGGCUAACUACGUGCCAGCAGCCGCGGUGAUACGUAGGGUGCGAGCGUUGUCCGGAAUUAUUGGGCGUAAGAGCUUGUAGGCGGUCCGUUGCGUCGGAAGUGAAACUCAGGGCUUAACCCUGAGCCUGCUUUCGAUACGGGCGGACUUGAGGGAUGUAGGGAGAACGGAAUUCCUGGUGGAGCGGUGGAAUGCGCAGAUAUCAGGAGGAACACCAGUGGCGAAGGCGGUUCUCUGGACAUUUCCUGACGCUGAGAAGCGAAAGCNUGGGGAGCAAAACAGGCUUAGAUACCCUGGUAGUCCACGCCGUAAACGGUGGCANUAGGUGUGGGACCCAUUCCACGGGUUCCGUGCCGUAGCUAACGCAUUAAGUGCCCCGCCU
This 506-nucleotide ribosomal RNA is filed under the name uncultured bacterium. RNAcentral describes it as "partial 16S ribosomal RNA". It matches the Rfam family "Bacterial small subunit ribosomal RNA", at positions 355 to 874 of the family's 1533-position model. The record is from RNAcentral.